AUUGAACGCUGGCGGCAUGCCUUACACAUGCCAGUCGAACGGUAACGGGCCUUCGGGUGCCGACGAGUGGCGAACGGGUGCGUAAUACAUCGGAACGUGCCCGAUCGUGGGGGAUAACGAGGCGAAAGCUUUGCUAAUACCGCAUACGAUCUACGGAUGAAAGCAGGGGACCGCAAGGCCUUGCGCGGACGGUGCGGCCGAGGGCAGAUUAGGUAGUUGGUGGGAUAAAAGCUUACCAAGCCGACGAUCUGUAGCUGGUCUGAGAGGAUGAUCAGCCACACUGGGACUGAGACACGGCCCAGACUCCUACGGGAGGCAGCAGUGGGGAAUUUUGGACAAUGGGCGCAAGCCUGAUCCAGCCAUGCCGCGUGCAGGAUGAAGGCCUUCGGGUUGUAAACUGCUUUUGUACGGAACGAAAAGCCUUCUUUUAAUACAGGAGGGUCAUGACGGUACCGUAAGAAUAAGCACCGGCUAACUACGUG
This 482-nucleotide ribosomal RNA is filed under the name uncultured bacterium. Its description in RNAcentral is "partial 16S ribosomal RNA". It matches the Rfam family "Bacterial small subunit ribosomal RNA", at positions 30 to 507 of the family's 1533-position model. The record is from RNAcentral.